RNAcentral lists this transfer RNA (74 nucleotides) under Vibrio astriarenae. It matches the Rfam family "tRNA". From Rfam's summary of the family: Transfer RNA (tRNA) molecules are approximately 80 nucleotides in length. The record is from Rfam by way of RNAcentral. Lineage: Bacteria; Pseudomonadati; Pseudomonadota; Gammaproteobacteria; Vibrionales; Vibrionaceae.
CGGACUGUAGCGCAGCUUGGUAGCGCACCGUCAUGGGGUGUCGGGGGUCGUGGGUUCAAAUCCCGCCAGUCCGA